UACGAAGGGGGCUAGCGUUGCUCGGAAUCACUGGGCGUAAAGGGUGCGUAGGCGGGUCUUUAAGUCAGGGGUGAAAUCCUGGAGCUCAACUCCAGAACUGCCUUUGAUACUGAGGAUCUUGAGUUCGGGAGAGGUGAGCGGAACUGCGAGUGUAGAGGUGAAAUUCGUAGAUAUUCGCAAGAACACCAGUGGCGAAGGCGGCUCACUGGCCCGAUACUGACGCUGAGGCACGAAAAGCGUGGGUAGCAAACAGG
RNAcentral lists this ribosomal RNA (254 nucleotides) under uncultured bacterium. RNAcentral's name for it is "partial 16S ribosomal RNA". It matches the Rfam family "Bacterial small subunit ribosomal RNA", at positions 524 to 776 of the family's 1533-position model. The record is from RNAcentral.